RNAcentral lists this ribosomal RNA (501 nucleotides) under uncultured bacterium. RNAcentral describes it as "bacterial SSU rRNA". It matches the Rfam family "Bacterial small subunit ribosomal RNA", at positions 29 to 526 of the family's 1533-position model. The record is from RNAcentral.
AUUGAACGCUGGCGGCAUGCCUUACACAUGCAAGUCGAACGGUAACGCGGGGCAACCUGGCGACGAGUGGCGAACGGGUGAGUAAUACAUCGGAACGUGCCCAGUAGUGGGGGAUAGCCCGGCGAAAGCCGGAUUAAUACCGCAUACGACCUACGGGUGAAAGGGGGCGAUCGCAAGACCUCUCGCUAUUGGAGCGGCCGAUGUCAGAUUAGGUUGUUGGUGGGGUAAAAGCCUACCAAGCCGACGAUCUGUAGCUGGUCUGAGAGGACGACCAGCCACACUGGGACUGAGACACGGCGCAGACUCCGACGGGAGGCAGCAGUGGGGAAGUUUGGACAAUGGGCGCAAGCCUGAUCCAGCCAUGCCGCGUGCGGGAAGAAGGCCUUCGGGUUGUAAACCGCUUUUGUCAGGGAAGAGACGGCUUGGAUUAAUACUUCGAGCUAAUGACGGUACCUGAAGAAUAAGCACCGGCUAACUACGUGCCAGCCGCCGCAGUAAAAC